GAUGAAGAACGUAGCGAAACGCGAUAGUUAAUGUGAAUUGCAGAAUUCAGUGAAUCAUCGAGUCUUUGAACGCACAUUGCGCCCCUCGGCAUUCCGGAGGGCAUGUCUGUUUGAGCGUCAUUUCAACACCCUCGCUUUAAGCGGUAUUGAGGCGUGGAAUCCAUAUCAAUGGAACCAAGCUUUUAAAGUUGAAGGCAAGCAGAACGAAUGUCUUGAACAAAACAUAGUAAAAUCUUCACGGUUUCUCCUGUUUGUCCUCGAUGUUACGUCUCGCCCAAACAAUUUUUUUUUAGUUUUGACCUCAGAUCAGACAAGGAUACCCGCUGAACUUAAGCAUAUCAAUAAGCGGAGGA
This 353-nucleotide unclassified non-coding RNA is filed under the name soil metagenome. RNAcentral's name for it is "partial contains 5.8S ribosomal RNA, internal transcribed spacer 2, and large subunit ribosomal RNA". The stretch from base 1 to 120 matches the Rfam family "5.8S ribosomal RNA", at positions 35 to 154 of the family's 154-position model. The record is from RNAcentral.